Long non-coding RNA from Mytilus californianus (California mussel), 2049 nucleotides. RefSeq lists it as uncharacterized. The record is from RefSeq and is a predicted model, not a curated record. The transcript is spliced from 4 exons. Lineage: Eukaryota; Metazoa; Mollusca; Bivalvia; Mytilida; Mytilidae.
GAAGUGCACAUGUCAAGGCCGCCAUUAUCACCACAGAAGAAGUUCGCGGGAAAGUAAAUAAGUUAAAUAAAAGACUGGUCAACCAAGGUAUUCCCCCGUUACUUACGGGACGUACAGUGGAAUUAAUCACACACGGUCCCGGGGAGUAUUUACGGAGCGGAGUUAGUCACAGGGAGUAUUUACCAUGUUUAAAGAGCGGAUUUAACCAAGGACUCAGAAGCAGGAAAGUUAUACAUGAUUAGGAGGAAUUUUACUAGGGUACAAAAAGGGUUUUAUGAGGGUGUGGAUUGGGUUUACAGAAUAGAGAAAAAUGGCUAAAAAUAAUAAAGAAUAGAGAAAAAUGGGUAAAAAAAAAGAAGAGAGAGUAAUGAGGUGCCAAAAUAUAAAGAAUAGAGAAAAAUGGCAAAUAAAAUUAAAGAAUACAGAAAUGGAGGACACCCAUCCAGACCCUUGUAUAUAGGAUAAUCUCUGCAUGGAUUAACAGAUUUAUGGAUUAAACUAAUCUGUAUUAAUUAGUUGAUUAUUUAGAUGUGAACUUUGACCCUGUUUUAGACAUAACUAGUGGUCCCACUUUUUUGGUAAGUUGUUAUUUUGUAUUAGUUUUUUUAAGGAAUGGUUAUCAAAUUUAAGAUUUGGAAUAAACAUUUGGUGACAAAUUUCCUGUAAAUUCAGGUGGUUAUGAUGACUAUUUAUUAUAAAGGCAGUUUCAGUAAAAAUGAUCUUUUUCAAAUUCAGUGAAGGUCAUCAUGUAGGUGCCCUAUUAAAUUGUUUUCCUUGCAUAUUCCCUAAACCAAUAGACCACUUUCGAGGAAUGUCCUUCACAGGAAAAAAUUCGUCAGUUUUGUGCGCCUUUGUGACGUCAUUUACCAGAUAGAGGGGAUCGCCUGUAUCCCUGCUCGAUUAAAGUUCAUUAAGCGUCUUUGUGAUUGUCAUUAUGCUGGAUAAAAUAGAAAUUAUAUUUGUUCCGUAAGUACUUAAUCACAAUUCCCUAAUGACAGCAGUGCCGAAUAAUUCGUUCAAUAUAGCAUUAUCAUUUUUUCAACCAAUCGCUCAACAUAGGAACGGAAGAGAUGACGCCCCUAAACGCACAAAUGAUGUUCUCUAAAACCAAAGUUUUUGGCUGAAAUGCAACGAACUCGAAAGUUGUCUAUUAGAUUUAUUUUAAAAUCUUGGAAGAAUUAUGAAUAACCUUCUACAGUAGUAUCAAUCCCCAAAAAUUGAAUUUCAGAUUGCAUUCAAUUACUCAUCUAACAGAAAUGCAAAAAUGCAAAAUUCAAAUCUAUUUUAUACCAUGAAUUUGUUGCUAAUUAUUGUAUAUUUAUUAAGGUAGAUCAGGUGUCUUCUCAUUUCUUAGAUUGUAAAUUCUAAUGCAAUAUCGUUUGUAACGUUCAUUUUGAUUGGAUAAUGUCACCAAUUUUCAUGGCAUCAAUUCACAAUUGAUGCUAUGAAAACGUACGCGCAAGCACAGACGACGUUUGAAAGAUUUUAGAUGUAUGAUUUGAUUUGUUUUCUGUCAGUUUCAUUAGAAUGGAGAUAUCAAUAAAUGUAUUUGAAGCUCCGACGGCAUCAAUUGGUGAUUUGAUGCCGUUGGAGCUUAAAAUACAAAACAGUUAUCUCCUAAAUAGCAUGAAGCAAUUGGUCUAAUUCUUUAAUGAAAUAUGCAAUUCGUUUGUUACGUUAGACCUUACUUUUAGAUGAAGAAAAAUGUGUGUAUUUUAUUUUCACUGUUUUUACAAAUACAGAAUGUUUUCAUCAACUUGGAUACAGAAGGGGAGAUAACUCAGAUAAUUAACUUAUAUAAAGGAAUUUACCUCAUGUGUUAUGUAGCUAGAUAAGAAGAGAACAUAUAUAUAUAUAUAUAAAGUGCCUAGAAAAUCAACCUAACGAUGUUAGAGUAGAUCCUUUUCUUUACUUCCUCCCGGAUAGGGGCUGGAACCUGUACUUUUUAUUUCUAACUUCUACGACAACACCGCCUAGCAUUGCGCAGACACCUUAUCCCCUCCUCUAACUAUAGCUGAUAAAAAUAUAUAUAUAUAUUUAUGGCUUUUA